Non-coding RNA from Macaca mulatta (Rhesus monkey), 1685 nucleotides. The record is from RefSeq and is a predicted model, not a curated record. NCBI's taxonomy places the organism in Eukaryota, Metazoa, Chordata, Mammalia, Primates, Cercopithecidae.
AAGACCGUGUCUCAAAACAAACCAAAAAAACCCCACACAAAACCAUGCUGUGUAGUGUUGAUGGUCACACGUGUGCUGUGAGGUCUACAAACGUGCCCUAGACUGACACUCCAGAUGCGGAAUCGGCCCCAGGAGGGAGAGCGAUGACACCAGAGGGCACCCGGGCGCUUUGGGUGGAUUGGACAGGUUGAAUCCACUUAAAAUCACGGCACAGACACAGCCAAAUGCCAAGGAGUCUUAGAGCUGGGAGGGGCCGAUGGUACUUAUCACAUCAUUCUCUGUGCUUUUCCGUAUGUUAGAAACAUCCCAUAACAAAACAGUGCAGGGAAGAGGAAGGCCAGUCUGCGCUGUGCUGAUUCAGCAACAAGCAACUCAGCAGCGAAACGAAACCCUGGCUGGAGGCACUGGCCGGUUUCCGUGGCGUAAACAUUCCCACCACGGCGACGCCUGAGCCACCCACCUGAGGGGGCCGACGGAGCAGACACACAGGACCGGCCUCCAGUGCACACCCACGAAGGACACACAGCACCGGCCCCCAGCUGUCAGGGGCCGGCCCCCAGCGCACGUCGCGAAGGACACACAGCACGCCUCCCUGAGCUGUAGCCAGCAGGCAAGGGUCACGUCUCUACAAUCAGGGAGAAGAACAGAGAGGCUGCCGUGGGAACCCAGCGGGCAUCCGGCUCACUGGCACACCCGGGAGCUCGUGUGGAGCAGCGCCGGGCACACACAGGCCACCCCCGCCCUCCCACUCACGUUUAUGUCUGGAAGGCAGAGAACGGACCAGCAGGGCAGCGGGCAGGUGGUGAAGGAUGCACCUGUGGUGAUGGCUCAGACAGGAACUGGAGGGGCAGGCCCUGCCGCUUCUGUGGCCAGGGUCUCCCCAGUCUCCGCCACUCCGGCUGCCACAGCAAAACACCCCAGGUGGCGGCUUCAAGCGACCGACAUUUGGCUCACAGCUCUGGAGGCUGUGAGUCCAACCGGCCCCAGCAGACUGUGGUUCACAGCCAGCGCCUCCUGGCCAUGUCCACACGUGAUGGAGGGUGCUCUCUGAGGUCCCUUUUGUCUGGGUACUAAGCCGUCCACGAGGAUGGUCUGACCCUCAUGGCCGGACCCCCCCAAAGGCCUCUCCUCCCAACAGCAUCACCUUGGAGUGAAGGUUUCCACAGAAGAAUUUCCGGGGACAGACAUUUGGGCCACGGUGACCUCUCUGGGGGCCCCUCAGUGUGAGAAGGACGGAGAGGAGGAGCCGGCUCCGCAGGCUGCAGACUCCCAUGAGAUGCAGAGAGUGAGGCCCAGCUUCUAGGAGAGACCCGGCCCAGCUUCCGCGAUGGACCCGCCCAGCUUCCGCGAGGGACCCGCCCAGCUUCUAUGAGACACCUGUUGCCGUUCGCAAGUCCGAGUAACGUGGCUGGAAAACCAGAGCCCUCGCCAGGAACGAGUGAGGCUUGACAGACGGCACACCUCCCUCCGCGGGGAACCAGCCCUGAGAUGGCGCAGGAGCAAAUCUACCCACCAGACCUCAGGCUGGCCGCCGCACAGGAGGGGCUGGGUCGGCUGAGACGUCUCAGGGGGACGCUCGAGUCCCCGGAAGGUUCCGGUCCAGAGGCCCAGUGGAGGGACACACAGACCCACUCCGGAGAGCACCGGAUUUGGGUCAGAGCCUGGGCCAUCUGCAGCCCCGAAGU